GGGGCAAGGGUCUUGAGGGUCCAGGAUUUAGUCUAGUGUAAGUUGGGAUACCUGGAUUAAAAAAAAAAAAUAUAUAUAUAUAUAUGGCAAAAACCUGCUAAACUGGAGCAAUGACACUCUACUAGUUACCCUAAACUAGAGCAAUGACACUCUACCUAGUUACCCUAUACGGUUAUUUCAGAAUUGCUCUCUUUCCCGAAUCGGGAAGAGAGCUUUUUCCCGAUUUUCAAUUUUUUAUUCAUUUUAUUGCCUUCUGCCUUUUUCAACUCCCCACCUCCUAACCCGGCCACCCCCUACCCAUUUACUAAUUUUUGUACAAUAUCUUAAGGGUACGAUUUAAAUGGUGUAAAAAAAAAUUUGUGCAAUACCCUUAAGAAAAAAAAGAAUUGAGCGAAUGGAAUGUCAUACAGUCGCCUAGAGCUGUUACUCUAUUCUCGCUCAAACCUUCAAGUCGCCCAAGAUCUUAACAAACAUAAAGCGUCGUGGUUAUUAAGAAGUGCAGUUAUCAAAGCAGUUAUUAAAGCAGCCCUAUCAUAUUCCACGAUUCAAGAAAUUCAAUCGAAAGCGGUUGAACGAUGAAGGGUAAUGACAGCAGUUAAAAAUGCAGUUUUCAUGACAAGAUGGCCUUUACGAAGAAAGUGGGUAGUUAUAGGACGAUCAAGCAGUUUUUAGAGCGGUUUAUCACAAAGAGAUCGUCCAUGAAGUAUAAAAGGGAGAAAGGACAUAGAAGCAAAGGACCGAAUCCAAAACUCUCGAAAAGAGAACAUGUAAUUUUCAUUUCCUUAGUUUUUAGAUUUAAACACUUUUGUUUCAGUAACUCGUGUGCUUGCGCCCCUUGGAGGCAUGUUGUUUUUCAUUUCCAAUUGUAAAGUCAUCGCCAAUAAAAGAACACCCCUUUUUGGGACUUUGUCUCAACAGGUUUUGUCCCUUACACAAUCGUCUGAUCUUUUUUAAUUGUUAGCGACUAACCCGCGCGAAACAGUUUGUAAAUUUAUUUAUCUUAAUUAUAAAUAGAUAAAUAUGAGUAGUGAAUAAGUAAGAAGUAUUUGUGAGUCUUUUAAAAUGUAUAGAUAAAUGUAAUUUGACUGUUUUUCAGUAGGUUACAAUAAUGAGGCAAACAUAGAUUAGUUGUGUACGUCUAAUUAGAUACCAAAUUUGGCAUAACUGCCAUCUUAGUUCUAUACAAAUUUAAGGUGGCAAAAACUUGCCAAACUAGAGCAAUGACACUCUACUAGUUAGCUCUUAUGGAUCUAUUUACCUAUAAUUUAAAAGAACUUUGACAAACAGGGGCUUAAUCGUACCAUAUAUAGGAAUUGUUUGAGUCCUUUUUUUUUCAAAAAAUGUAUUUUCAAAUAGUAUUAUGAUAGAAAAUGUGAGGUUAAAAUAUAAAGAAAAGUUUUGAAUUUACGUGUAAUAUUAUUUUAUUUAAAAAUGUAGUUGAAAUGAGGUCAAAUCACGUUGAAAAAUGAAUUUUGAUGAAAAAAAUAUGGCUCAAACAAGGGCAUAUAUAUAGAACUCAAUAAAAUUUGAUAAUUGACUUUAUUUAUCCUCCUAUUAUUAUUAUUAUUAUUAUUAUUAUUAUUUUGCCGUUUAUAAAUAUUUAUUAUUAUUAUUAUUAUUAUUAUUAUUACUGUGCCGUUUAUAAAUAUUUAGUACCUAUUAUUAUUAUUAUUAUUAUUAUUAUUAUUAUUAUUAUUAUUAUUAUUAUUAUUAUUAUAUUGUGGCGUUUAUGCACAUUUAGUACCUUUAAUUAUCAAAUUAAUCUAACCAUAUAUGGUUUUAUACAGCUCAACCAAAUUGCAUAAUUGACUUUAGUUAUCCUCCUUUUUUUUUCUUUUCCAAUUUUGUUUCAUCCAUGAACAUUCAGUACUCUUGGUUAUCAAAUUAAUGUUCCUACUUCCAAGCGGAGGCUGAGCUAAAUUAAAUGCCAUCCUCCUAAACCUAUAUUUCCUUCUAUCUUAUAGCAAAUACUCUACCUAAUUAUUGGGAUGAUAAAAAAUAUCGACAAUUUUAGCUUCUACACGCGUUAAGCCAACUUAUAUAGUGCACAUGAUGAGGAAACCGCAAUUAAAAAUAACUUAUAAGUUGCCGAUGUGUUAAUAAACUAUUCGUGCAAAAUUCGCAAACGUACGGGAUCGUUGACAAGUAAUAUGUGAUGAGUAGCGUAUAUCGCCCCACGAGAAAUAAAAUUUAAUAGAGUGUACUAGUAUUUAGUUAGAUUCAAAGUGAUCGAACAAAAUUGAUUUGUAGUUAUGACUAUUCUAAAUUAAUUUACUAAAAUGGGUAAAAUUCAAGUUUUGUUUGUGUGGAAUUAGUGUACUGAAUUACGAAUUCACAUAUUAUUAUAUAUUCUAAUUCUCAACUAUGUAGUUAGUUUCGUUCUUGCAUUCUUGAUAAUCAAUAAUUUUAUUGUUAUUAAUUUUUUUUCAAAACAAAUUAAAUCUAUUCUAGUCACGACUCGACUUUAUUCCUAGUCCGAAUUUAAAUAAAUAGAACGCAUUCAAUUUCAUAAUUAUCUCAAAGAUUGUACCCGUGAUAAAUCUUAUUCCUAAAAUUUAUUGCACAUGUGUUAAUCAAGCAAUGUUUUAGACCUAUUGUAAACCUCUCAGCACUACAACAAGUAACCAUACAUUCAAUUGGUGAUCAAGCAAUCAAAUAAUAAAAUUAGGCAUGCAAGAUCAAUCAAAAAUUGUAAAAAUUUAACUAAAUUACUUGUCCUGAAUUAAAAAUAAAUAAUAGAUGAUUUCAUCUUUAUUCAAUGCCUAAAAAGACUUAGUCUAAAAUAAUGUUAGAAUUAAACACAUAAAAGUGGAACGACAUUACCGCGAAUCGAUGGAACGUGAUUAAUUUCCUCGCAAUGGUUGAUAACUUAUCGAACAAAAAUCUGGAAAUAAUUAUUGUUGUUGUCCUUCAUUCCGUACGCGUCCCGUCUUUUAGCUUUUAAUUGUCUUGUGCUGUCUUUCUUUUCCGUGUAUGUGUCUCUUUCCUUUAAUUUUCAGCCGCCCUUUUCUCCCAAUUUUCAACCCACAUGCC
Molecule: long non-coding RNA, 3033 nt
Filed under: Olea europaea (common olive)
Lineage: Eukaryota; Viridiplantae; Streptophyta; Magnoliopsida; Lamiales; Oleaceae
Description: long non-coding RNA (OEUR_LNC010717)
Source: RNAcentral